This 449-nucleotide ribosomal RNA is filed under the name uncultured bacterium. RNAcentral's name for it is "bacterial SSU rRNA". It matches the Rfam family "Bacterial small subunit ribosomal RNA", at positions 29 to 521 of the family's 1533-position model. The record is from RNAcentral.
AGCGAACGCUGGCGGCAGGCUUAACACAUGCAAGUCGAGCGGGCGUAGCAAUACGUCAGCGGCAGACGGGUGAGUAACGCGUGGGAACGUACCUUUUGGUUCGGAACAACACAGGGAAACUUGUACUAAUACCGGAUAAGCCCUUACGGGGAAAGAUUUAUCGCCGAAAGAUCGGCCCGCGUCUGAUUAGCUAGUUGGUGAGGUAACGGCUCACCAAGGCGACGAUCAGUAGCUGGUCUGAGAGGAUGAUCAGCCACAUUGGGACUGAGACACGGCCCAAACUCCUACGGGAGGCAGCAGUGGGGAAUAUUGGACAAUGGGCGCAAGCCUGAUCCAGCCAUGCCGCGUGAGUGAUGAAGGCCCUAGGGUUGUAAAGCUCUUUUGUGCGGGAAGAUAAUGACGGUACCGCAAGAAUAAGCCCCGGCUAACUUCGUGCCAGCAGCCGCCGU